GAUAAGAUGGCUGAGAUUUAGGCAAUAAAUUGUAAAUUUAUUAACGGAAAUAUUUCCUUUUAUCA
RNAcentral lists this transfer RNA (65 nucleotides) under Palaestes abruptus. RNAcentral's name for it is "tRNA-Tyr". Lineage: Eukaryota; Metazoa; Arthropoda; Insecta; Coleoptera; Cucujidae. The record is from RNAcentral.